This is a long non-coding RNA of Populus nigra (black poplar), 429 nucleotides long. RefSeq lists it as uncharacterized. The transcript has 2 exons. The record is from RefSeq and is a predicted model, not a curated record. Lineage: Eukaryota; Viridiplantae; Streptophyta; Magnoliopsida; Malpighiales; Salicaceae.
AUAGGGCUUGUAGUCCAGAAAAAGUUAGAAGAAGUACAAAAAUGAGACCCAGACUUGUUCUUGGUUAGGUUUCCUCCAUUUUAAAAUUCCUACUCCCGUCUGCUCCGCUCCGCUGUCCUCCACUGUUAGGGUUAAAGAGUUGCUUCAAUGGAAUGGUAGAGAUUCUUUUGGUGUUUGGGAGGUCUCCGUGGCUUAAGAUCCUUCUAAACAUAAGACAGAUGAAUGCUUACCGUACAGAGCCAUUUUUGAAUGCUGAGAUCCAAAUCUUGACGUGGAGACAUUGUUAGUUCAAGGAUUUUUGUUAUGGAGGAUUUAAUGUCAAGAGCUUCGCAUGGCUAAUAGUACACAAGGGUAAAAAGAAAGCAGAGAAGGCAGGAGAAACUGAAAAUAACCAAACAAGUCUCGAAAAACCACCACAAACAUUUUAUU